Molecule: ribosomal RNA, 1533 nt
Filed under: Triticum aestivum (bread wheat)
Lineage: Eukaryota; Viridiplantae; Streptophyta; Magnoliopsida; Poales; Poaceae
Description: partial small subunit ribosomal RNA
Source: RNAcentral
AUGGACAGGGAUCUGUUCCGGACGGUGAAGCAGGGGACGCGGAACCAGGCCAGGCUCCUGUACCACCGCCUGGUGUGCCGCCUGCCGCACCUCCUCGCCGUCACGCUGCUCCUCGUCGUGGCCCCGCGGCUGGUGUCCACGCUGUCCCUCGCCGCGCUCUGGAGCGAGGCGCGCGCCAACGCGGCCGUGCUGUUGGCCGCGUGCGCGGGCUGCGCCGCCGCGGCGUACGCCUACGCCAUGUCGCGGCCGCGGCCCGUGUACCUGGUGGACCUGGCCGGGUACAAGCCCGGGCCGGCGCACGAGGCGACGCGCGCGCAGGCCAUCCGCCAGUUCGGGCUGGCCGGCGGGUUCGACGACGAGAGCAUGUCGUUCCAGAAGCGGAUGAUGGAGCGGUCGGGGCUCGGCGAGGCCACGCACUUCCCGGCGUCGCUGAUGAGCAUCCCCGUGGACAUGUGCCUCCAGACGGCGAGGGACGAGUCGGAGGCCGUCGUAUUCGGCGUCGUGGACGAGCUGCUGGCCAAGACCGGCGUGCGCGCGGAGGACAUCGGCGUCGUCAUCGCCAACUCCAGCCUCUACAGCCCCACGCCGUCCUUCGUGUCGCUGAUCGUGAACCGGUACCGCCUCCGCCACGACGUCGUCAGCCACAACCUCAGCGGCAUGGGCUGCAGCGCCGGCAUCAUCGCCAUCGACCUCGCCAAGCACCUCCUUCAGGUGCACCCGGACACGUACGCGCUGGUGGUGAGCACGGAGAACAUCACGCUCAACGCCUACCUCGGCAACAACCGCCCCAUGCUGGUCACCAACACGCUCUUCCGGGUGGGCGGCGCGGCGGUGCUGCUCUCCAACCGCCGCCAGGAGCGGGCGCGCGCCAAGUACCAGCUCAUCCACACCGUGCGCACGCACCGGGGCGCCAGUGACCGGAGCUACGGCUGCGUGACGCAGGAGGAAGACGACGCCGGCCAUGUCGGCGUCUCGCUCUCCAAGGAGCUCAUGUCCGUGGCCGGCGAGGCGCUGCGCACCAACAUCACCACGCUGGGGCCGCUCGUGCUCCCGCUUUCCGAGCAGCUCCGCUUCCUCGCCACCGUCGUGCUCAAGCGCGUCUUCCGCGCCGACGUCAAGCCGCACAUCCCGGACUUCACGCUCGCGCUCGACCACUUCUGCAUCCACGCCGGCGGGCGCGGGGUGCUGGACGAGCUGGAGCGCAGCCUCAAGCUCAGCGCCUGGCACAUGGAGCCGUCCCGGAUGACGCUCUACCGCUUCGGCAACACCUCCAGCAGCUCGCUCUGGUACGAGCUCGCCUACUGCGAGGCCAAGGGUAGGAUCAAGAAGGGCGACCGGGUGUGGCAGAUCGCCUUCGGCUCCGGCUUCAAGUGCAACAGCGCCGUCUGGAAGGCGCUCAGGGCGGUCGACGCCGUCGCCGUCGGGGACACCGGCAGCCCCUGGGCGCAGGACGUCGACGUGCUGCCGGUGCACGUGCCCAAGGUGGUGCCCAUCGACGACGACGAGGCGUCAUACAAGACGGCCGCCGCCUAG